AUUGAACGCUGGCGGCAGGCCUAACACAUGCAAGUCGAGCGGAGCGGGGGACGGGUGGGUAAGGACUAGGAAUCUGCCUGCCAGUGGGGGAUGACGUCCGGAAAGAGGCGCUAAUAACUCAUGCUAUCAGAUGAGUCUAGGUGGGAUUAGCUAGUUGGUGGGGUAAAGGCCUACCAAGGCGACGAUCCGUAGCUGGUCUGAGAGGAUGAUCAGUCACACUGGAACUGAGACACGGUCCAGACUCCUACGGGAGGCAGCAGUGGGGAAUAUUGGACAAUGGGCGAAAGCCUGAUCCAGCCAUGCCGCGUGUGUGAAGAAGGCCUUCGGAUUGUAAAGCACUUUCAGUUGGGAGGCGUUACCCACAGAAUAAGCACCGGCUAACUCCGUGCCAGCAGCCGCGGUAAUAC
RNAcentral lists this ribosomal RNA (407 nucleotides) under uncultured bacterium. Its description in RNAcentral is "partial 16S ribosomal RNA". It matches the Rfam family "Bacterial small subunit ribosomal RNA", at positions 30 to 526 of the family's 1533-position model. The record is from RNAcentral.